This 497-nucleotide ribosomal RNA is filed under the name uncultured bacterium. Its description in RNAcentral is "partial 16S ribosomal RNA". It matches the Rfam family "Bacterial small subunit ribosomal RNA", at positions 28 to 507 of the family's 1533-position model. The record is from RNAcentral.
GAUGAACGCUGGCGGCGUGCCUAAUACAUGCAAGUCGAGCGAACGGAUGAGAAGCUUGCUUCUCUGAUGUUAGCGGCGGACGGGUGAGUAACACGUGGAUAACCUACCUAUAAGACUGGGAUAACUUCGGGAAACCGGAGCUAAUACCGGAUAAUAUUUUGAACCGCAUGGUUCAAAAGUGAAAGACGGUCUUGCUGUCACUUAUAGAUGGAUCCGCGCUGCAUUAGCUAGUUGGUAAGGUAACGGCUUACCAAGGCAACGAUGCAUAGCCGACCUGAGAGGGUGAUCGGCCACACUGGAACUGAGACACGGUCCAGACUCCUACGGGAGGCAGCAGUAGGGAAUCUUCCGCAAUGGGCGAAAGCCUGACGGAGCAACGCCGCGUGAGUGAUGAAGGUCUUCGGAUCGUAAAACUCUGUUAUUAGGGAAGAACAUAUGUGUAAGUAACUGUGCUCAUCUUGACGGUACCUAAUCAGAAAGCCACGGCUAACUACGUG